This 83-nucleotide transfer RNA is filed under the name Roseivivax halotolerans. It matches the Rfam family "tRNA". Rfam says of the family: Transfer RNA (tRNA) molecules are approximately 80 nucleotides in length. Their secondary structure includes four short double-helical elements and three loops (D, anti-codon, and T loops). Further hydrogen bonds mediate the characteristic L-shaped molecular structure. tRNAs have two regions of fundamental functional importance: the anti-codon, which is responsible for specific mRNA codon recognition, and the 3' end, to which the tRNAs corresponding amino acid is attached (by aminoacyl-tRNA synthetases). tRNAs cope with the degeneracy of the genetic code in two manners: having more than one tRNA (with a specific anti-codon) for a particular amino acid; and 'wobble' base-pairing, i.e. permitting non-standard base-pairing at the 3rd anti-codon position. The record is from Rfam by way of RNAcentral. Lineage: Bacteria; Pseudomonadati; Pseudomonadota; Alphaproteobacteria; Rhodobacterales; Roseobacteraceae. RNAcentral also lists the same sequence under 1 other name.
GCCCAAGUGGCGGAAUGGUAGACGCAGGGGAUUCAAAAUCCCCCGGUCGAAAGAUCGUGUCGGUUCGAGUCCGACCUUGGGCA